GGGCCUGUGGUGUAGCGGCCUAACAUGUCGCCCUGUCACGGCGAAGAUCGGGGGUUCGAAUCCCCUCAGGCCCGCCA
This 77-nucleotide transfer RNA is filed under the name Herpetosiphonaceae bacterium. RNAcentral's name for it is "tRNA-Asp". It matches the Rfam family "tRNA". From Rfam's summary of the family: Transfer RNA (tRNA) molecules are approximately 80 nucleotides in length. Their secondary structure includes four short double-helical elements and three loops (D, anti-codon, and T loops). The record is from RNAcentral. Lineage: Bacteria; Bacillati; Chloroflexota; Chloroflexia; Herpetosiphonales; Herpetosiphonaceae.